This 472-nucleotide ribosomal RNA is filed under the name uncultured bacterium. RNAcentral describes it as "bacterial SSU rRNA". It matches the Rfam family "Bacterial small subunit ribosomal RNA", at positions 17 to 518 of the family's 1533-position model. The record is from RNAcentral.
UUAUGGCUCAGGAUGAACGCUGGCGGCGUGCCUAACACAUGCAAGUCGAGCGAUUACUUCGGUAAAGAGCGGCGACGGGUGAGUAACGCGUGGGUAACCUGCCUCAUACACAUGGAUAACAUACCGAAAGGUAUGCUAAUACAGGAUAAUAUAAGAGAUUCACAUGGAUUUUUUAUCAAAGCUCCGGCGGUAUGAGAUGGACCCGCGUCUGAUUAGCUAGUUGGUAAGGUAAUGGCUUACCAAGGCGACGAUCAGUAGCCGACCUGAGAGGGUGAUCGGCCACAUUGGAACUGAGACACGGUCCAAACUCCUACGGGAGGCAGCAGUGGGGAAUAUUGCACAAUGGGCGAAAGCCUGAUGCAGCAACGCCGCGUGAGUGAUGAAGGCCUUCGGGUCGUAAAACUCUGUCCUCAAGGAAGAUAAUGACGGUACUUGAGGAGGAAGCCCCGGCUAACUACGUGCCAGCCGCGGC